RNAcentral lists this ribosomal RNA (494 nucleotides) under uncultured bacterium. RNAcentral's name for it is "partial 16S ribosomal RNA". It matches the Rfam family "Bacterial small subunit ribosomal RNA", at positions 29 to 505 of the family's 1533-position model. The record is from RNAcentral.
AUGAACGCUGGCGGCGUGCCUAAUACAUGCAAGUCGAGCGAACAGACGAGGAGCUUGCUCCUCUGACGUUAGCGGCGGACGGGUGAGUAACACGUGGAUAACCUACCUAUAAGACUGGGAUAACUUCGGGAAACCGGAGCUAAUACCGGAUAAUAUAUUGAACCGCAUGGUUCAAUAGUGAAAGACGGUUUUGCUGUCACUUAUAGAUGGAUCCGCGCCGCAUUAGCUAGUUGGUAAGGUAACGGCUUACCAAGGCAACGAUGCGUAGCCGACCUGAGAGGGUGAUCGGCCACACUGGAACUGAGACACGGUCCAGACUCCUACGGGAGGCAGCAGUAGGGAAUCUUCCGCGAUGGGCGAAAGCCUGACGGAGCAACGCCGCGUGAGUGAUGAAGGUCUUCGGAUCGUAAAACUCUGUUAUUAGGGAAGAACAAAUGUGUAAGUAACUAUGCACGUCUUGACGGUACCUAAUCAGAAAGCCACGGCUAACUACG